This 497-nucleotide ribosomal RNA is filed under the name uncultured bacterium. RNAcentral's name for it is "partial 16S ribosomal RNA". It matches the Rfam family "Bacterial small subunit ribosomal RNA", at positions 28 to 507 of the family's 1533-position model. The record is from RNAcentral.
GAUGAACGCUGGCGGCGUGCCUAAUACAUGCAAGUCGAGCGAACAGACGAGGAGCUUGCUCCUCUGACGUUAGCGGCGGACGGGUGAGUAACACGUGGAUAACCCACCUAUAAGACUGGGAUAACUUCGGGAAACCGGAGCUAAUACCGGAGAAUAUAUUGAACCGCAUGGUUCAAUAGUGAAAGACGGUUUUGCUGUCACUUCUAGAUGGAUCCGCGCCGCAUUAGCUAGUUGGUAAGGUAACGGCUUACCAAGGCAACGAUGCGUAGCCGACCUGAUAGGGUGAUCGGCGACCCUGGAGCUGGGACGCGGUCCAGGGUCCUACGGGAGGCAGCAGUAGCGAAUGUGCCGCAAUGGGCGGAAGCCUGACGGAGCAACGCCGCGUGAGUGAUGAAAGUCUUCGGAUCGUAAAACUCUGUUAUGAGGGAAGAACAAAUGUGUAAGUAACUAUGCACGUCUUGACGGUACCUAAUCAGAAAGCCACGGCUAACUACGUG